Small nuclear RNA from Mustela erminea (ermine), 143 nucleotides. RefSeq annotates it as U4 spliceosomal RNA. The transcript has a single exon. NCBI's taxonomy places the organism in Eukaryota, Metazoa, Chordata, Mammalia, Carnivora, Mustelidae. The record is from RefSeq and is a predicted model, not a curated record.
AUCCUUGGUGGCAGUAUCGUAGCCAAUGAGGUUUAUCCGAGGCACGAUUAUUGCUAAUUGAAUUAACUGGCCAGUCCCUUGAAACCACUUCUGUGACCUGACUCCAGCUCAGUCAGAAUGAUAUUUGGUCUCUUGGCUUUGAU